CUUGCAUAUUCAAGUAAGAUCGCGAACCUAGCGGACGUCUUGAAAACUAAAUGCAGUUAAAAAAGUUUUUUUUUUAAGUUAAUGUAGAUUAUAAAAAGAAGUUUUGUUAUCAAUGGAUUUAUAACAUUUGAAUUUGUGUCUAUGUGAUGAAUAUCAUUAAAAAGCGGACGUUUUAGAUUUUGAAGUGGAUUUGAAAACUUUUUUCUAGAAACUGUUCGUGUAUUAAUUUGUGAAAUGUUAUGAUGUUUUGGACUUAAUAUAAUAACGACUGUAUUUAUUUUUUCCCGCUCAAAUCAAGCACAGACAACGAACUUUCCAACUGUCAAUAGUGAAAAAAAAGUGCAAGCAAA
Molecule: long non-coding RNA, 350 nt
Organism: Trichoplusia ni (cabbage looper)
Lineage: Eukaryota; Metazoa; Arthropoda; Insecta; Lepidoptera; Noctuidae
Exons: 2
Source: RefSeq, a predicted model, not a curated record